CCGUCGGUUGUGAGUGUGUGGUUGCGCUUUCUUUCGUUUUUUGGUCUGCGCAAACUUAUUUUCGCGUUGUAAUAAUUUUGCAUAAAUAUCGCAAUUCGAUUGCCAUUAAAUAACAAUAACAAAAAGCGUAGAGCGCUUCGAAAUAUUAAGACCCCAAGCAUUCAGAAGUUUGGAAGUAGCUACAUAACUGUGAAGUGCAAAGUGCGGGUCUCUCUGUCUUCGUCGCUGUCUCUCUGUUUGUGUGUGCGCGCGCGUGAGUUCGUCGUUUGUGUGAGUGUGUGUGUAAAUGGUCAAAUAAACGCUGAAAGCAGAACGUGCAACAAGAAGUAGCAGCAACAAGAAGCAACAGAGCCGCCGAGCACCAGCUGACGAGAAUUGAAAAUUCCAAUAACAUCGCGAGUGUAAAUCGAAAGUGUAUUUAACGAAUUUAUAGGAACAGAAGUAAAAUAAUCCAAGAACUUACAAUGCAUCCGCGCUAUAGCCCUGGACCGCCGCACCAGCCGCAGCAGCAACAAAUGGGCGGAGGAGGACCCCACCAACAGCAGGGUGGUGGAGGAGGCGGAGGUGGUGGGGGUCAUAUGAGAGGUGGAGGACCUUCAAACUCCCAGCAAUUGCCGCCACAGAUGCCACGAUCACAGAAUUAUUCGAACGGGAGCUCGUCCAGUGCCGCUGCCGCUGCCGCCGCCGCUGCCGCUUCGUCAACACAGCAGCGCAGCGCUUUUCCCGGCGCACCGUUAACCGCCUCAGCCGUUGCACUCAAAGGCUCAUUGCCACAGCGUCCACCGGCCAUGACGAGCCCAGCCGCUGCUGCUGCCGGCGCUGCUUUGGCCGCCGGCGCCCCUUAUCGCGGUGCCACCAGCUGGACCCCACAGGGCUAUGCCCCGGCCGCUGCCGCCGCCGCUGCUGCCGUGGCCCAGCAGGCCGCCUAUCGCUACACGGCGCCGCUCCCCCAGCCGGCCUAUGCCGCCUAUACGCCGCACACGGCCACCACACCGGCCACAACCACGGUAAGUCAUCUUUACAACCCCAUGGAAUUGCACUUUUGGUACGGCCAGCGUGUGCCAACGGCAGCCUCACCGAGCAACACCAACUCGAGCAGCUCCUCGAACACCGGCUCCCAGAGCGGCACACUGAGCACCAGCCUGAGCAACACGACAAAUACCAACACGAACAUGGGUCCCAACGGCACCGUUCAGAAUCAGAACCAGCAGGGCGGCGAGCAGUUGUCAAAGACAAAUCUCUAUAUACGCGGACUGCAGCAAGGCACAACCGACAAGGAUCUAGUUAAUAUGUGUGCACAAUACGGAACCAUUAUAUCAACCAAGGCGAUUUUAGAUAAAACAACAAACAAAUGUAAAGGUUACGGCUUCGUCGACUUCGAGCAGCCAGCCUUCGCCGAGUGCGCCGUCAAGGGACUGCAGGGGAAGGGCGUGCAAGCUCAGAUGGCCAAAGUGGGUAUCUGGGUGCUUCAUAGGCCGGCCAUUCAACAGGAACAGGAUCCCACAAAUUUGUAUAUUGCAAAUUUGCCGCCCCACUUCAAAGAAACUGAUCUGGAGUCAAUGCUAUCGAAAUACGGACAAGUUGUUUCGACCAGAAUAUUGCGUGAUCAGCAAAUGAACUCAAAGGGCGUUGGCUUCGCCCGCAUGGAGAGUCGCGAGAAGUGCGAGCAAAUCAUUCAGAUGUUCAAUGGUAACACAAUACCGGGUGCCAAAGAUCCACUAUUGGUGAAGUUCGCCGAUGGCGGACCCAAAAAGAAGAAUCUCUUCAAGACCCCCGAUCCGAAUGCCCGUGCGUGGCGCGAUGUCUCCGCCGAGGGCAUACCCGUCACCUAUGACCCGAGCAUGCAGCAGAAUGGUGUCAGCGUCAAUGUGGGCACACCCAUUGGUGUGCCGUACUCGCGAUUUGGUGCCCCCCAGGUGGGUGGCUAUCCAGUGGCUGGGUCCCAGUGGAUACCCGGCUAUAUGAUGACCCAGCCGAUCACUCAGGUAGAUGAUCAGUACAUGCAAAUGGCUGCCGCUCCGCAGUUGGGCGUCACCUCAUACAAACCGGAGGCUGUCAACCAGGUGCAACCCCGCGGCAUUUCGAUGAUGGUCAGUGGCGACACGGCCGUGCCAUAUGGAACGAUGAUGCCACAGUUGGCCACCCUGCAGAUUGGCAACUCUAACUUUUCUCCAUCGUUACAGUAUAUUAGUCCAACUUAUCCAUAUUAUGCACCACCAACUAUUAUACCAACAAUGCCAAUGACAGAUUCCGAACAGGCUAGCACAGCUGCAUCACCCGACGAGGCAUACACACAGUAUCCACAUCAAGCCGCUCCCAAAUAGGUCUUCGCGAGUAUAGUUACUAAGCAGUCUAAUCACUGGUAAUCCAUACUAGCUAUAAUCUAAUAGUACCCCAUUUGAGUACUACAUAAAUUGGACGAGUGAGAGAGCAUGCCCCAGAGCAAUAGGAGGAGGAACAUCAAACACUACAACAACAGAAGCAGCAACAGAUCGGAUAUAGAAGAUAACCACCACAUGAACAACCAACAGAUCGAACAUUCAGAAGCAGAUAAAUCAGACAACAACAACAAAAUGCAGUUCACUAAAAUAAAUGUUUCAAAAAGAUACAGAAAACAUUAGAGAAACCGAAACCGAAAGCUAGGAGAAAGAAAAUUAUGUAUAAAUAAGUGAGGUUUAGGAGGAUGAAGUUUAGGAGAUACAUGAAUUGAGAUACAUGUAAGCCAGGAGAGAAGAAUGUGCAUAGAGUGCAUAAAGAGAGAGAAGAGGGCAAAGCAAAGCAGAGCAAAGCAACGCUUCCAUGCAUUAAGAAAAAGAAAGAAGCGAGUAAAAAGUGAAGGAAAGCAAAGACUAAACUUAAAUAAUAGAAAAUAGUUAUACACUAAAUAAAAACAGCAAAGAUCCGCAGAGAACAGCAAAGGAAACAGCAAAGUUGCUUAACAACAGAGAAAAUUAAGAGAACAACAAACUAGAGGCAGUCGAAAAUAUUUACAAAAAGAGAACUGCUACAAAAAAAAAACGUUGAAAGAAAGGAGAGGAAUGAAAAGAAGAGGAGAAUAUAAGAGAAGAAGUCAAACGGGGGCAAAGUAAUGGAAGGCUUGAGAAACAUCUGCAAGUAAAUCCAAACGCAGAUUCUAGUUAAGGUCUAGUUUCGUUAAGUGAAAGAAAAAGAUUUAAAAUUGCAUGGGGAUAGAUACCCCGGGAGGGGAUCCGAUCGACGAAAAUGUUAAAAUUGAAAAGGAAAGAAUACAAAAACUAUAUAAAAAUAUUUUGCUAAUUUUGAGCUAGCAAAAAAACCUAAGCAGAGAGAAAUUUGUGAAAUGAAAUGAUGUAAGAAGGAAGCAACCGAAACCCAAAACAAAACAAAACAAAACAAAAAAUAAAUGUGUGUGCAAUGUAUGUUAAAGAAAAUUAAAAAGUAAACGAAGAAACGGAGAAAAUAAUAAAAAGGAAACCCCAAAAGCAGUUUGUUCAUUAGAACAAACAAGAUCAGAACAACAAAAAAGUAAACCUAAAUCUUAAGUCGAACUGCAGCAAAAUCUAGAG
Molecule: RNA transcript, 3545 nt
Organism: Drosophila guanche
Lineage: Eukaryota; Metazoa; Arthropoda; Insecta; Diptera; Drosophilidae
Gene: shep
Gene name: protein alan shepard
Exons: 13
Source: RefSeq, a predicted model, not a curated record